Molecule: ribosomal RNA, 484 nt
Filed under: uncultured bacterium
Lineage: Bacteria
Description: partial 16S ribosomal RNA
Rfam family: Bacterial small subunit ribosomal RNA
Source: RNAcentral
AUUGAACGCUGGCGGCAGGCCUAACACAUGCAAGUCGAGCGGAUGAAGGGAGCUUGCUCCUGGAUUCAGCGGCGGACGGGUGAGUAAUGCCUAGGAAUCUGCCUGGUAGUGGGGGAUAACGUCCGGAAACGGGCGCUAAUACCGCAUACGUCCUGAGGGAGAAAGUGGGGGAUCUUCGGACCUCACGCUAUCAGAUGAGCCUAGGUCGGAUUAGCUAGUUGGUGGGGUAAAGGCCUACCAAGGCGACGAUCCGUAACUGGUCUGAGAGGAUGAUCAGUCACACUGGAACGGAGACACGGUCCAGACUACUACGGGAGGCAGCAGUGGGGAAUAUUGGACAAUGGGCGAAAGCUUGAUCCAGCCAUGCCGCGUGUGUGAAGAAGGUCUUCGGAUUGUAAAGCACUUUAGGUUGGGAGGAAGGGCAGUAAGUUAAUACCUUGCUGUUUUGACGUUACCAACAGAAUAAGCACCGGCUAACUUCGUG